RNAcentral lists this unclassified non-coding RNA (201 nucleotides) under soil metagenome. RNAcentral describes it as "partial internal transcribed spacer 1". The record is from RNAcentral.
ACGAGUUAGGGUCUCUUCGGCCCGACCUCCCAACCCUAUGUUUACUGAACUCCUGUUGCUUCGGCGGGCCCGUCUCACGACCGUCGGAGGAGUCGCCGCGAGGCGCCCUCUGACCAGCGCCCGCCGACGGCCAACCCAUGUCAAAACUCUGUAUAAAUCGUGUCAUGAUGUCUAAGUCUUUAUGAUUCAAUUUAAAACGCA